AGUGGACGCUGGCGGUAGGCCUAACACAUGCAAGUCGAACGGCAGCACAGUAAGAGCUUGCUCUUACGGGUGGCGAGUGGCGGACGGGUGAGGAAUACAUCGGAAUCUACUUUUUCGUGGGGGAUAACGUAGGGAAACUUACGCUAAUACCGCAUACGACCUACGGGUGAAAGCAGGGGAUCUUCGGACCUUGCGCGAUUAAUUGAGCCGAUGUCGGAUUAGCUAGUUGGCGGGGUAAAGGCCCACCAAGGCGACGAUCCGUAGCUGGUCUGAGAGGAUGAUCAGCCACACUGGAACUGAGACACGGUCCAGACUCCUACGGGAGGCAGCAGUGGGGAAUAUUGGACAAUGGGCGCAAGCCUGAUCCAGCCAUACCGCGUGGGUGAAGAAGGCCUUCGGGUUGUAAAGCCCUUUUGUUGGGAAAGAAAAGCAGCAGGUUAAUACCCCGCUGUUCUGACGGUACCCAAAGAAUAAGCACCGGCUAACUUCGUG
RNAcentral lists this ribosomal RNA (492 nucleotides) under uncultured bacterium. RNAcentral's name for it is "partial 16S ribosomal RNA". It matches the Rfam family "Bacterial small subunit ribosomal RNA", at positions 29 to 507 of the family's 1533-position model. The record is from RNAcentral.